RNAcentral lists this ribosomal RNA (495 nucleotides) under uncultured bacterium. Its description in RNAcentral is "partial 16S ribosomal RNA". It matches the Rfam family "Bacterial small subunit ribosomal RNA", at positions 28 to 507 of the family's 1533-position model. The record is from RNAcentral.
GACGAACGCUGGCGGCGUGCCUAAUACAUGCAAGUAGAACGCUGAAGGAGGAGCUUGCUUCUCUGGAUGAGUUGCGAACGGGUGAGUAACGCGUAGGUAACCUGCCUGGUAGCGGGGGAUAACUAUUGGAAACGAUAGCUAAUACCGCAUAAUAGUAGAUGUCGCAUGACAUUUGCUUAAAAGGUGCAAUUGCAUCACUACCAGAUGGACCUGCGUUGUAUUAGCUAGUUGGUGAGGUAACGGCUCACCAAGGCAACGAUACAUAGCCGACCUGAGAGGGUGAUCGGCCACACUGGGACUGAGACACGGCCCAGACUCCUACGGGAGGCAGCAGUAGGGAAUCUUCGGCAAUGGACGGAAGGCUGACCGAGCAACGCCGCGGGAGUGAAGAAGGGUGUCGGAUCGUAAAGCUCUGUUGUAAGAGAAGAACGAGUGUGAGAGUGGAAAGUUCACACUGUGACGGUAUCUUACCAGAAAGGGACGGCUAACUACGUG